RNAcentral lists this non-coding RNA (201 nucleotides) under Prevotella sp. Lineage: Bacteria; Pseudomonadati; Bacteroidota; Bacteroidia; Bacteroidales; Prevotellaceae. The record is from RNAcentral.
CAAUAAUUUCAAAGCUGUGAUUUACGAUGCUGACGUGCAAGGGAAUCAGGUGAAAGACCUGAACUGUUCCUGCAGCUGUAAUCCACAUUAUGGAGCUAACAUCAGAAAGCCACUGACAUGAAACAAAAGGGUUUCAAGUAUUGUCGGGAAGGCGUUGGCUCUGUGGAAAGUCAGAAUACCUGCCAGAUCACAACUCGUAGA